This 216-nucleotide ribosomal RNA is filed under the name Glomeromycotina sp. RNAcentral describes it as "partial small subunit ribosomal RNA". The stretch from base 40 to 216 matches the Rfam family "Eukaryotic small subunit ribosomal RNA", at positions 686 to 864 of the family's 1831-position model. Lineage: Eukaryota; Fungi; Glomeromycota. The record is from RNAcentral.
GGGUCAGUAGGUUGGUCGUGCCACCGGUACGUACUGGUCUCACUUAUUCCUCCUUCCUGAAGAACCGUAAUGCCAUUAAUUUGGUGUUGCGGGGAAACAGGACUGUUACUUUGAAAAAAUUAGAGUGUUUAAAGCAAUCUAACGCUUGAAUACAUUAGCAUGGAAUAAUGAAAUAGGACGAUCGAUCCUAUUUUGUUGGUUUCUAGGAUUGACGUA